GUGAGGAAUAUUGCGCAAUGGAGGCAACUCUGACGCAGCCAUGCCGCGUGCAGGAAGAAGGCGCUACGCGUUGUAAACUGCUUUUAACCGGGAAGAAACCCCAGGACGUGUCCUGGGUUGACGGUACCGGAGGAAUAAGCACCGGCUAACUUCGUGCCAGCAGCCGCGGUAAUACGAAGGGUGCAAGCGUUAUCCGGAUUCAUUGGGUUUAAAGGGUGCGUAGGCGGAGCGUUAAGUCAGUGGUGAAAUCCUGCAGCUUAACUGUAGACUUGCCAUUGAUACUGGCGCUCUUGAGUGCGCUUGAAGUGGGCGGAAUGUGCCGUGUAGCGGUGAAAUGCUUAGAUAUGGCACAGAACACCAAUUGCGAAGGCAGCUCACUAAGGCGAUACUGACGCUGAGGUACGAAAGCGUGGGGAUCGAACAGGAUUAGAAACCCUUGUAGUCC
Molecule: ribosomal RNA, 445 nt
Filed under: uncultured bacterium
Lineage: Bacteria
Description: partial 16S ribosomal RNA
Rfam family: Bacterial small subunit ribosomal RNA
Source: RNAcentral